Molecule: transfer RNA, 74 nt
Filed under: Candidatus Aalborgicola bjergmarkensis
Lineage: Bacteria; Pseudomonadati; Pseudomonadota; Betaproteobacteria; Burkholderiales; Comamonadaceae
Description: tRNA-Lys
Rfam family: tRNA
About the family: Transfer RNA (tRNA) molecules are approximately 80 nucleotides in length. Their secondary structure includes four short double-helical elements and three loops (D, anti-codon, and T loops).
Source: RNAcentral
AGGGAUGUAGCUCAAAGGCAGAGCAUUCGGCUUUUAACCGACAGGCAAGGGUUCAACUCCCUUCAUCCCUACCA